AUAGGAAAGGUGCGUGUAUUCAGACGGACACGAUUCCAGCUGUGGCUCCUCCACUUUCAGGGUCGCUGUUUCCACAGUUGACAAGCAGGAGAACCAUACUUGUUGCACUUCCCUCACUGGGCUGCCGCCAGCAUCAUAUAGAAAAACGCUGUCCCAACAUAAGCCAAAGCCACCAUGACUGGGAUAGUCGCCAAACAGAACUCAGCUUCGGUUCCCCUCCCGGCAAGGCUGGUUCGACCUACAGUCAACAGGAAGCUCCUGGGGGCAGGGACAGGAUCCCUGCCUCGGAAGGAGGCAAGACGUGAACGUUUUUUGGACGGCGAUCAGGAUGGUGAUGAGGGUGUGAGUAACGCCCCCGGCUCACGCGGUUGGGCUUGAGAUUUUACUACCAACGACAAAGGGUGCGGAAGCGUAGCGCUGAGAAGCAAACAGCCAACCAAAAAAACUCAACCCCGUCCUCCCCCACAAAAGCAAGCCCCAAAGCCCUGGCCACUACUGAGAGCUGGGCCAAGGAACAGAGAAAGGCAGAGGGGCAGAAUCGGAGCGCUCCAUUCAAUCUCCGCGGCAGCCGAGCGUCGGUGGGUUCGCGGGUGGGAAGGGACGCCGCGGGCCUGCUC
Molecule: long non-coding RNA, 617 nt
Filed under: Homo sapiens (human)
Lineage: Eukaryota; Metazoa; Chordata; Mammalia; Primates; Hominidae
Description: HSALNT0392350
Source: RNAcentral